RNAcentral lists this unclassified non-coding RNA (344 nucleotides) under Hevea brasiliensis (rubber tree). The record is from RNAcentral. Lineage: Eukaryota; Viridiplantae; Streptophyta; Magnoliopsida; Malpighiales; Euphorbiaceae.
CAGGUCAUGGGAGAAAAAGUGUCAUUUGAUCCAUCUCGAAUGGUGUUGACAUCAGGUGCAACUCCGGCCAUUGAAGUUCUAUGCUUUUGUUUGGCUGACCAUGGAAAUGCUUUGCUUGUUCCAACCCCCUAUUAUCCUGGCUUUGAUAGGGACAUAAGAUGGAGAACUGGUGUAGAUCUUAUACCUGUUUACUGUCGUAGCUCCGAUGCUUUCAUGGUGGACAUAACAACUCUUGAUCAAGCAUUUAAUCAUGCUAGAAAGCGAGGGAAAAAGGUCCGUGGAAUACUCAUCUCAAACCCGUCUAACCCUGUAGGGAACAUACUGAAUAGGGAAAUGCUAUAUAG